UACAGAGGUCUCAAGCGUUGUUCGGAUUCAUUGGGCGUAAAGGGUGCGUAGGCGGCGCGGUAAGUCGGGUGUGAAAUCUUGGAGCUUAACUCCGAAACUGCAUUCGAUACUGCCGUGCUUGAGGACUGGAGAGGAGACUGGAAUUUACGGUGUAGCGGUGAAAUUCGUAGAUAUCGGGAGGAACACCAGUGGCGAAGGCGGCGACCUGGGCCAAUACUGACGCUGAGGUGCGAAAGCGUGGGGAGCAAACAGG
RNAcentral lists this ribosomal RNA (253 nucleotides) under uncultured bacterium. Its description in RNAcentral is "partial 16S ribosomal RNA". It matches the Rfam family "Bacterial small subunit ribosomal RNA", at positions 524 to 776 of the family's 1533-position model. The record is from RNAcentral.